GAUAAACGCUGGCGGCGCACAUAAGACAUGCAAGUUGAACGGACUUAAUCGAAAUAUUUAUAUUUUGAAGCGGUUAGUGGCGGACUGGUGAGUAACGCGUAAGGAACCUGCCUAUUAGAGGGGAAUAACAGUGAGAAAUCAUUGCUAAUACCGCAUAUGCCAUAGAUAUCACAUGAUAACAGUGGGAAAGGAGCAAUCCGCUAAUAGAUGGCCUUGCGUCUGAUUAGAUAGUUGGUGGGGUAACGGCCUACCAAGUCGACGAUCAGUAGUCGGACUGAGAGGUUGAACGGCCACAUUGGGACUGAGAGACGGCCCAGACUCCUACGGGAGGCAGCAGUCGGGAAUAUUGCGCAAUGAAGGAAACUCUGACGCAGUGACGCCGCGUAUAGGAAGAAGGUUUUCGGAUUGUAAACUAUUGUCGUUAGGGAAGAGAAAGGACAGUACCUAAGGAGGAAGCUCCGGCUAACUACGUG
Molecule: ribosomal RNA, 473 nt
Filed under: uncultured bacterium
Lineage: Bacteria
Description: partial 16S ribosomal RNA
Rfam family: Bacterial small subunit ribosomal RNA
Source: RNAcentral